GAUAUUUCCCCAGAAACACUCACUCAUAUCAAUGGUCGUCCUGUUCUUCAACCAUGUAACAAUUCCCACAAAAAAUCACCUAAUUUCAAGAUUUCACCUUAUUCAAAAGUGAAAAAUUCUCCUCCUAUUUCUCCCAAAAUCAGGUCCCCUAGACAACAAUCUAUCAAGAAAGUGAACAAUGAUCCUAAUGGUUUUGGUUUAAAUACAAGUAGUGACAAAAUUGUGACACCCAAAAACCCAAAAGUGAAAAAUUCAACACUAACAACUACUCCUACUUCACCAAAAAUCAAGUCACCUAGACAACAACCUAUCAAGAAAGUGAAUGAUUCUAAUGGACAAAACCCAAGUAGUGACAAAAUUGUGACACCCAAAAACCCAAAAGUGAAAAAUUCAACACUAACAACUCCUCCUAUUUCACCGAAAAACAAGUCACCUAGACAGCCAGCAAUCAAGAAAGUGAAAAAUAUUAAUAAUUCUUCCAUCAUGGUUCUUGAAGUUGCUGGAAGCAUAGCAGCAGCAAGAAGGGAACAAGUUGCCAACAUGCAAGUGCAGAGGAAACAGAGAAUUGCACAUUAUGGAAGA
This 582-nucleotide long non-coding RNA is filed under the name Capsicum annuum. RNAcentral describes it as "long non-coding RNA (CANN_LNC015336)". Lineage: Eukaryota; Viridiplantae; Streptophyta; Magnoliopsida; Solanales; Solanaceae. The record is from RNAcentral.